This is a non-coding RNA of Xylariales sp. No.14919, 72 nucleotides long. The record is from the annotation of a GenBank genome assembly. Lineage: Eukaryota; Fungi; Ascomycota; Sordariomycetes; Xylariales.
ACCGAAUUGGUGUAGGGGUCAACAUUCGGGAUUCUCAUUCCCGAGCCAGGAGUUCGAGUCUCCUAUUCGGUG